RNAcentral lists this ribosomal RNA (374 nucleotides) under uncultured organism. RNAcentral's name for it is "partial 16S ribosomal RNA". It matches the Rfam family "Bacterial small subunit ribosomal RNA", at positions 527 to 896 of the family's 1533-position model. The record is from RNAcentral.
GUAGGUGGCAAGCGUUGUCCGGAAUUAUUGGGCGUAAAGCGCGCGCAGGCGGUUCUUUAAGUCUGAUGUGAAAGCCCACGGCUCAACCGUGGAGGGUCAUUGGAAACUGGAGAACUUGAGUACAGAAGAGGAAAGCGGAAUUCCACGUGUAGCGGUGAAAUGCGUAGAGAUGUGGAGGAACACCAGUGGCGAAGGCGGCUUCCUGGUCUGUAACUGACGCUGAGGCGCGAAAGCGUGGGGAGCAAACAGGGAUUAGAUACCCUGGUAGUCCACGCCGUAAACGAUGAGUGCUAAGUGUUAGGGGGGUUUCCGCCCCCUUAGUGCUGCAGCUAACGCAUUAAGCACUCCGCCUGGGGAGUACGGCCGCAAGGCUG